UUUUUUUCUUUCUGUCACCCUCUACAAUAUUUAUCGACAACUCUCCUCAAGUUUUGCUUACACAUUGAGGACUCCGUGAUCGUAGAUGUAAUCUAUUAUCUCAGUUGUGAUCAUCGCUUAAGGUUGCAAGGAUUGUCGGGAAGACUUGGAUGGAUGGUUCGAGGGAUUAAAGACGCACAUGGAUUUUCUUUAAAAGGAGGGAUGUUUUGA
RNAcentral lists this long non-coding RNA (210 nucleotides) under Helianthus annuus (common sunflower). RNAcentral describes it as "sRNA HanXRQr2_Chr04g0152161". Lineage: Eukaryota; Viridiplantae; Streptophyta; Magnoliopsida; Asterales; Asteraceae. The record is from RNAcentral.